UACGGAGGGUGCGAGCGUUAAUCGGAAUUACUGGGCGUAAAGGGUGCGUAGGUGGUUUGAUAAGUUAGCUGUGAAAUUCCUGGGCUCAACCUGGGGUGGUCAGCUAAGACUGUUGAACUGGAGUAUAGGAGAGGGUAGUGGAAUUUCCGGUGUAGCGGUGAAAUGCGUAGAGAUCGGAAGGAACACCAGUGGCGAAGGCGGCUACCUGGCCUGAUACUGACACUGAGGCACGAAAGCGUGGGGAGCAAACAGG
Molecule: ribosomal RNA, 253 nt
Filed under: uncultured bacterium
Lineage: Bacteria
Description: partial 16S ribosomal RNA
Rfam family: Bacterial small subunit ribosomal RNA
Source: RNAcentral